AGCUCCAAUAGCGUAUAUUAAAGUUGUUGCAGUUAAAAAGCUCGUAGUUGGAUCUCAGGCGCAGGCGGGCGGUCCGGCUCGCAGCCGGUUCACUGCUCGUUCCCUGCCCUAACCCCUGUCGGCUCUCUCCUGCGGGUGCUCUUCACUGAGCGUCCCAGGUGGCCGACGCGUUUACUUUGAAAAAAUUAGAGUGUUCAAAGCAGGCCAACAAGCCUGAAUAAUGGUGCAUGGAAUAAUAGAAUAGGACCUCGGCCCUAUUUUGUUGGUUUCCGGGACGGAGGUAAUGAUUAACAGGGACAAACGGGGGCAUUCGUAUUGCGGCGUUAGAGGUGAAAUUCUUGGAUCGCCGCAAGACGAGCUACUGCGAAAGCAUUUGUCAAGAAUGUUUUCA
This 391-nucleotide ribosomal RNA is filed under the name marine Metazoa environmental sample. RNAcentral describes it as "SSU rRNA". It matches the Rfam family "Eukaryotic small subunit ribosomal RNA", at positions 587 to 972 of the family's 1831-position model. Lineage: Eukaryota; Metazoa. The record is from RNAcentral.